Symphalangus syndactylus (siamang) is the source of this 650-nucleotide long non-coding RNA. RefSeq lists it as uncharacterized. NCBI's taxonomy places the organism in Eukaryota, Metazoa, Chordata, Mammalia, Primates, Hylobatidae. The record is from RefSeq and is a predicted model, not a curated record.
AUGUGAAGACACAGUGAGGGGACACAAUCUGUGAUUCAGAGAGAGGGCCUUCACCACGUACUCGACCUACUGAUGCCUUGAUCUUGGACUUCUCAGCUUCCAGAACCUUUAGGAGAAAUAGCGGACUCAGCCAGGGUCACCUGCUGCAUAAGUGGUGAAGCCAGAAUUCAACCCUGUCUUCCUCGCUCCAGGUGCUAAGCCCUUAUCAUUAUGGCCUGCUGUCUCUCUAACAGGGCUUUGAGACCUCAAAUUUAAAAGGGCAAUCCUGGAGGCUACUUCUUGAAGAUUAGGUUAUCACAAGAUGCAGAAGGAGGCUGGAUUCCUGAAUCACUGCUUGGAGGAGAGCCAUCUGCCCUGGAAAAUGAGUCAUAAAAUACGAGAAUGCAAUCCCAGAACAUCAUGCCACCACUACUUAGCAAAAGCCCAUUUAACCUGUAUGUGAAUAAGGCCAGUCCUCAGAGAAGAGUGGAGCCAGUGUCAAAUGAUGUCAAGUCCUAGAAAUUGGAGUCACUGGAUGGAGUUACACCUGAGAUCAGCACAACCCAGUGCUUCCCACUCGAGUGAAUCAAAACUCUCUUUUCAGUGCUUCAGUGAUUCUGAAAGCUGUUAUUCCCAUGAGAAAGUGUUCUGACUAAAGCAGAAAUACAACA